This 468-nucleotide ribosomal RNA is filed under the name uncultured microorganism. RNAcentral's name for it is "bacterial SSU rRNA". It matches the Rfam family "Bacterial small subunit ribosomal RNA", at positions 9 to 524 of the family's 1533-position model. The record is from RNAcentral.
GAGUUUGAUCCUGGCUCAGAACGAACGCUGGCGGCAUGCCUAACACAUGCAAGUCGAACGAACUCUUCGGAGUUAGUGGCGCACGGGUGCGUAACGCGUGGGAAUCUGCCCUUGGGUACGGAAUAACUCAGAGAAAUUUGUGCUAAUACCGUAUAAUGACUUCGGUCCAAAGAUUUAUCGCCCAAGGAUGAGCCCGCGUAAGAUUAGCUAGUUGGUGGGGUAAAGGCCUACCAAGGCUACGAUCUUUAGCUGGUCUGAGAGGAUGAUCAGCCACACUGGGACUGAGACACGGCCCAGACUCCUACGGGAGGCAGCAGUGGGGAAUAUUGGACAAUGGGCGAAAGCCUGAUCCAGCAAUGCCGCGUGAGUGAUGAAGGCCUUAGGGUUGUAGAGCUCUUUUACCCGGGAUGAUAAUGACAGUACCGGGAGAAUAAGCUCCGGCUAACUCCGUGCCAGCAGCCCCGUAAC